RNAcentral lists this small RNA (55 nucleotides) under Sinorhizobium meliloti 2011. Its description in RNAcentral is "putative ncRNA". The record is from RNAcentral. Lineage: Bacteria; Pseudomonadati; Pseudomonadota; Alphaproteobacteria; Hyphomicrobiales; Rhizobiaceae.
AAUAAUUUACAAGUCAAUGAUAGUUCCGCACACAACUGCUUGACAGGAUCAUUGC